Molecule: ribosomal RNA, 492 nt
Filed under: uncultured bacterium
Lineage: Bacteria
Description: partial 16S ribosomal RNA
Rfam family: Bacterial small subunit ribosomal RNA
Source: RNAcentral
AGUGAACGCUGGCGGUAGGCCUAACACAUGCAAGUCGAACGGAAGCACAGUAAGAGCUUGCUCUUACGGGUGGCGAGUGGCGGACGGGUGAGGAAUACAUCGGAAUCUACUUUUUCGUGGGGGAUAACGUAGGGAAACUUACGCUAAUACCGCAUACGACCUACGGGUGAAAGCAGGAGAUCUUCGGACCUUGCGCGAUUGAAUGAGCCGAUGUCGGAUUAGCUAGUUGGCGGGGUAAAGGCCCACCAAGGCGACGAUCCGUAGCUGGUCUGAGAGGAUGAUCAGCCACACUGGAACUGAGACACGGUCCAGACUCCUACGGGAGGCAGCAGUGGGGAAUAUUGGACAAUGGGCGCAAGCCUGAUCCAGCCAUACCGCGUGGGUGAAGAAGGCCUUCGGGUUGUAAAGCCCUUUUGUUGGGAAAGAAAAGCAGCAGGUUAAUACCCCGCUGUUCUGACGGUACCCAAAGAAUAAGCACCGGCUAACUUCGUG